This 340-nucleotide ribosomal RNA is filed under the name Porphyrocrinus verrucosus. RNAcentral describes it as "partial 16S ribosomal RNA". The stretch from base 187 to 340 matches the Rfam family "Bacterial large subunit ribosomal RNA", at positions 2473 to 2626 of the family's 2925-position model. The record is from RNAcentral. Lineage: Eukaryota; Metazoa; Echinodermata; Crinoidea; Bourgueticrinida; Porphyrocrinidae.
UUAAGAAAAUUUUUAUAGUAAUAUAAUAAUAAAUAAAAAACUAUUAGAAAUAACCAAUAAAAAUAUCUUUGGUUGGGGCAACCACGAAGAAAAAAGAACCUUCGAAUAACAAAAGAAUAAACAAAUUUAAAAAUUAAAAAUAUAAAAGAUCCGGAACAUCCGAACAAAGGAAAAAGUUACCGUAGGGAUAACAGCGUUAUUCUCUUUAAGAGUUCAUAUUGACAAGAGAGUUUGCGACCUCGAUGUUGGACCGGGGCACCCCAGGGGUGCAGAAGCCCCUAAAGGUAGGUCUGUUCGACCUUAAAAGCCCUACGCGAUCUGAGUUCAGACCGACGCAAGU